CGAGGGGUAACAGGUUCCUUCGGGAAUGCUGACGACCGGCGCACGGGUGAGUAACGCGUAUGCAACCUUCCUGUAUCUGGAGGAUAGGCCUUGGAAACGAGGAUUAAUACUGCGUAACAUUAUAUUAUCGCAUGGUAAAACAAUCAAAUCUACGGAGGAUACAGAUGGGCAUGCGUGCCAUUAGCUAGAUGGUAAGGUAAGGGCUUACCAUGGCGACGAUGGCUAGGGGUUCUGCAAGGAAGAUCCCCCACACUGGUACUGAGACACGGACCGGACUCCUACGGGAGGCAGCAGUGAGGAAUAUUGGUCAAUGGAGGCAACUCUGAACCAGCCAAGCCGCGUGAAGGAAGACUGUUCUAUGAAUUGUAAACUUCUUUCGUGACAGAGUAAAGAUAGCUACGCGUAGUUAUUUGCAAGUAUGUCAUGAAUAAGCAUCGGCUAACUCCGUGCCAGCAGCCGCGGUAAUACGGAGGAUGCAGGCGUUAUCCGGAUUUAUUAGGUUUAAAGGGUGUUCAGGCUGUCUGGUAAGUCAGAGGUGAAAGUCGGUUGCUUAACGAUCGAAUUGCCUUUGAAACUGUCAGACUUGAGUAUGGAUGCGGUAGGCGGAAUGUGUAGUGUAGCGGUGAAAUGCAUAGAUAUUACACAGAACACCGAUUGCGAAAGCAGCUUACCAAACCAGCACUGACGCUGAAGCACGAAAGCGUGGGUAGCGAACAGGAUUAGAUACCCUGGUAGUCCACGCAGUAAACGAUGCUCACUCGCUGUUGGCAAUAGAUCGUCAGCGGCUAAGGGAAACCGAUAAGUGAGCCACCUGGGGAGUACGAUCGCAAGAUUGAAACUCAAAGGAAUUGACGGGGGCCCGCACAAGCGGUGGAACAUGUGGUUUAAUUCGAUGAUACGCGAGGAACCUUACCUGGGCUUAAAUGUACGAUGCAUAAGUGUGAAAGCACUUUUUCCUUCGGGACUUUGUACAAGGUGCUGCAUGGUUGUCGUCAGCUCGUGCCGUGAGGUGUCGGGUUAAGUCCCAUAACGAGCGCAACCCCUAUUGUUAGUUACCAGCGCGUAAAGGCGGGGACUCUAGCGAAACUGCCGGUGUAAACCGCGAGGAAGGUGGGGAUGACGUCAAAUCAGCACGGCCCUUAUGUCCAGGGCUACACACGUGUUAC
Molecule: ribosomal RNA, 1166 nt
Filed under: uncultured organism
Description: bacterial SSU rRNA
Rfam family: Bacterial small subunit ribosomal RNA
Source: RNAcentral